CGGUGUUCAACUGGCGUGCCCGCGGGACGUCCUGCCGGUGAGCUCAGCCCGCGAGGGCGGCUCAACUUGAAAUCCCAUCGCGGUGCUCUUCAUUGAGUGUCGAGGUGGGCCGGCACGAUUACUUUUGAACAAAUUAGAGUGCUUAAAGCAGGCUAAAAUUUUGCCUGAAUACUGUGUAUAUGGAAUAAUGGAAUAGGACCUCGGUUCUAUUUUGUUGGUUUUCGGAACCCCGAGGUAAUGAUUAAUAGGAACGGAUGGGGGCAUUCGUAUUGCGACGUUAGAGGUGAAAUUCUUGGAUCGUCGCAAGACGGACUAAAGCGAAAGCAUUUGCCAAAAACGCUUUCAUUGAUCAAGAACGAAAGUUAGAGGUUCGAAGGCGAUCAGAUACCGCCCUAGUUCUAACCAUAAACUAUGCCAGCUAGCGAUCCGCCGACGUCCCUCUGAUGACUCGGCGGGCAGCUUCCGGGAAACCAAAGCUUUUGGGUUCCGGGGGAAGUAUGGUUGCAAAGCUGAAACUUAAAGGAAUUGACGGAAGGGCACCACCAGGAGUGGAGCCUGCGGCUUAAUUUGACUCAACACGGGAAACCUCACCAGGCCCAGACACUGGAAGGAUUGACAGAUUGAGAGCUCUUUCUUGAUUCAGUGGGUGGUGGUGCAUGGCCGUUCUUAGUCGGUGGAGCGAUUUGUCAGGUUAAUUCCGAUAACGGACGAGACUCUGACCUGAUAACUAGACGCACUUGCGGCAUCUCAAAGGUCCGCCGGCGGCUGGCUUUGCGCCCGUCGUCGCGCGCGAUUUUUACUGCCGGCGUACAAUAAAUUCUUCUUAGAGGGACAAGCUGG
Molecule: ribosomal RNA, 840 nt
Filed under: uncultured eukaryote
Lineage: Eukaryota
Description: SSU rRNA
Rfam family: Eukaryotic small subunit ribosomal RNA
Source: RNAcentral